Molecule: long non-coding RNA, 2051 nt
Organism: Peromyscus eremicus (cactus mouse)
Lineage: Eukaryota; Metazoa; Chordata; Mammalia; Rodentia; Cricetidae
Exons: 9
Source: RefSeq, a predicted model, not a curated record
CCAUGAGAUUCUCCUGUUGUCUUUGGUGCUCUUGACUUCUUUUGCAUUAUGGCAUCAAGAACCACUCUUCUGUCAGACAUGGUGAUGUAUUCCAGUAAUCCAAACAGCAGAACUACCCUCUCAUCAGGAAAGGCCAGUCAGUACCCUCUGACAGAAAGAAUGACAAGAUGAUGGAACAGAAGAUGUAGGGGACAGGGAUAUAAGUAGCUGUGUGGAAAGCAACACAUGUGCAAACAGGGAUGAUCACUGAGAAGUCUCUGCUCUAUAGAGUUGGCUCCUUUUAUUUUACUGUGCACAUUCACUGUACUGUUGCUCAGUGUGAACCAACUAGAGUUCAAAGAUGAGAGAAACAUGGCAAUACAGCAGAACUACCCUCUCAUCAGGAAAGGACAGUCAGUACCCUCUGACAGAAAGAAUGACAAGAUGAUAGAACAGAAGAUGUAGGGGACAGGGAUAUAAGUAGCUGUGUGGAAAGCAACCCAGAUGUGCAAACAGGGAUGAUCACUGAGAACCAUCAAAUACCACCCCUCAGAGCUCAGAGAACCCUGCAGAAGAGGAGGAUAAAGCGUGUAAGAGCCAGAUGGGAUAAUGAACACCAAGAAAUAGUAUUGUCUAAAUCAACAAGAGAAAAGCUCAUAUGAACUCACAGAGACUGAAGCAGCAUGCACAGAGUCUGCAAAGAGAGUGAAAAUGGAGUUAUAAAUGAAGGAAUGUAAAAAGAGAGUGUGUGUCUGCACAUGUGGAAGAUACUGCAGAAAAAGACUAGACUAUUGGACAUGGAGGAGAGAAGAGCUGAUAAAUCCAAGACUGUGAUACAUGUUCAUGAUGGACACAGAGAUGCAGGUAGCCUCCCUGGUGAUGUGAGUAGCAGUCCAGUCAUCCUUGUUCCACAUCUAAUAUCCUGCUAUGAGCAAACUCUCCAGCAGUGCCCCAGCCAGCUCCCCCAGUGCAGCAGACAGCAAGGACCAGGACCAGUGUUCCUGCUCUCACACCCUCGGGUCUAGCUCACUGAAACUCAGACCACCAAGGCCAGCUCUACAGUUUUGUCCAGGUCUGUAUGUGCCCAGCAGCAGCAUAGCCCUCAGGCACCAAGAACGCCACAGGUGAAGACCCAGAUCCUUGGCAUCAGUGUGGCCUCUUGUGGCAACACAGGCCAAGGGCAUCAGCACAGACUCAGGCUGCAGUAGGACCAUAGUCCCAGACAUGGUCCUUGGCAAUAACCCAGGCUCAGAUGUCAUCAUGGCCCUAGCUGGCCUUGCAGUUAGAAGAGAUGGGCAUGGCACAAGUUCUAGCAUGUCUCCCAAAUGCCAACAUGUUCUAAGGUAGCAGCCUAGACUCCUGGACAUCCACUAAGCCUUCAAUGGUAAGAAGAGCCACCGACAUUGACACAGACUCUGGUAGGGCCUUGGAACCAGACAUGGCAUACUUCCUUAGUUCAGGACUGGGUGACACCAUGGCCCCUGAUGGCAGUAUGGGCUAUCCAGGUGUGUAUGGCCUAGGUGACACUUGACCCUCUAAGACCAACAUGGUCUCAGGUGUUAGUUCAGACUUCAGAUCUCUGCACAGCCCUUAUUUGGCAACAGGAACCAUGGACAUCAACUCAGAGCCCAGCCACAGCAGGGCCAUGGACCCAGACAUCUCCUCUGGCAGCAGUUUGGGCUGGACAUCACCAUGGUUCUGGAUUUUGGCACAUGACUCCUGGAUUGACAUUCCCUGUGGAAGCACAUCCCUUGGACAUCAACCUGGUCACAGGUAGUGGCCCAGACUCAGGGUGUACACAGGGCCCUCUUUGGUAACAAGAGCCACAGACAUCAACACAGACAGCCUUAGCUGCAUCAGGGUUUUGUACCAAGUUGUGGCACUCAGAAGCAGCCCAGACCUGGACAUCUGAACCUGGAUGGCUGUAGGGCAUCUACAUCAGCCUGUUCCUCACUGCCUUUGCCUCUUCAAAUCUGCCUUUCCCCUCAUGAAUUGUUCUGUAUCUUACUGUCUCCCAUUUUGCCUACUAGACUCACUCACCAUAAGGAUGCCUGACUGCCUGGUGGGCAGGU